CCUACGGGAGACAGCAGUGGGGAAUAUUGGGCAAUGGGCUAAAGCCUGACCCAGCAACGCCGCGUGAAGGAAGAAGGCUUUCGGGUUGGAAACUUCUUUUGACAGGGAAGAGCAGAAGACUGUACCUGUCGUAUAAGCCACUGCUAACUACGUGCCAGCAGCCGCGGUAAUACGUAGGUGGCGAGCGUUGUCCGGAUUUAAUGGGUGUAAAGGGCGUGUAGGCGGGCUGACAAGUCCGAUGUGAAAUCCGGGGGCUCAACCCCCGAACUGCAGUUGAAACUGUUGGUGUUGAGUGUCGGAGAGGCAGGCGGAAUUCGUGGUGUAGCGGUGAAAUGCGUAGAUAUUAGGAGGAACA
This 355-nucleotide ribosomal RNA is filed under the name uncultured bacterium. RNAcentral's name for it is "partial 16S ribosomal RNA". It matches the Rfam family "Bacterial small subunit ribosomal RNA", at positions 338 to 708 of the family's 1533-position model. The record is from RNAcentral.